This 19-nucleotide microRNA is filed under the name Corchorus olitorius. Its description in RNAcentral is "cre-miR1166". Lineage: Eukaryota; Viridiplantae; Streptophyta; Magnoliopsida; Malvales; Malvaceae. The record is from RNAcentral.
AGGUCCAUGACCUUAUGGU